Molecule: ribosomal RNA, 1369 nt
Filed under: uncultured bacterium
Lineage: Bacteria
Description: bacterial SSU rRNA
Rfam family: Bacterial small subunit ribosomal RNA
Source: RNAcentral
GACGAACGCUGGCGGCGUGCCUAAUACAUGCAAGUAGAACGCUGAAGAGAGGAGCUUGCUCUUCUUGGAUGAGUUGCGAACGGGUGAGUAACGCGUAGGUAACCUGCCUUGUAGCGGGGGAUAACUAUUGGAAACGAUAGCUAAUACCGCAUAACAAUGGAUGACACAUGUCAUUUAUUUGAAAGGGGCAAUUGCUCCACUACAAGAUGGACCUGCGUUGUAUUAGCUAGUAGGUGAGGUAAUGGCUCACCUAGGCGACGAUACAUAGCCGACCUGAGAGGGUGAUCGGCCACACUGGGACUGAGACACGGCCCAGACUCCUACGGGAGGCAGCAGUAGGGAAUCUUCGGCAAUGGGGGCAACCCUGACCGAGCAACGCCGCGUGAGUGAAGGAGGUUUUCGGAUCGUAAAGCUCUGUUGUAAGUCAAGAACGGGUGUGAGAGUGGAAAGUUCACACUGUGACGGUAGCUUACCAGAAAGGGACGGCUAACUACGUGCCAGCAGCCGCGGUAAUACGUAGGUCCCGAGCGUUGUCCGGAUUUAUUGGGCGUAAAGCGAGCGCAGGCGGUUUGAUAAGUCUGAAGUUAAAGGCUGUGGCUCAACCAUAGUUCGCUUUGGAAACUGUCAAACUUGAGUGCAGAAGGGGAGAGUGGAAUUCCAUGUGUAGCGGUGAAAUGCGUAGAUAUAUGGAGGAACACCGGUGGCGAAAGCUGCUCUCUGGUCUGUAACUGACGCUGAGGCUCGAAAGCGUGGGGAGCGAACAGGAUUAGAUACCCUGGUAGUCCACGCCGUAAACGAUGAGUGCUAGGUGUUGGAUCCUUUCCGGGAUUCAGUGCCGCAGCUAACGCAUUAAGCACUCCGCCUGGGGAGUACGACCGCAAGGUUGAAACUCAAAGGAAUUGACGGGGGCCCGCACAAGCGGUGGAGCAUGUGGUUUAAUUCGAAGCAACGCGAAGAGCCUUACCAGGUCUUGACAUCCCGAUGCUAUUUCUAGAGAUAGAAAGUUACUUCGGUACAUCGGUGACAGGUGGUGCAUGGUUGUCGUCAGCUCGUGUCGUGAGAUGUUGGGUUAAGUCCCGCAACGAGCGCAACCCCUAUUGUUAGUUGCCAUCAUUCAGUUGGGCACUCUAGCGAGACUGCCGGUAAUAAACCGGAGGAAGGUGGGGAUGACGUCAAAUCAUCAUGCCCCUUAUGACCUGGGCUACACACGUGCUACAAUGGUUGGUACAACGAGUUGCGAGUCGGUGACGGCGAGCUAAUCUCUUAAAGCCAAUCUCAGUUCGGAUUGUAGGCUGCAACUCGCCUACAUGAAGUCGGAAUCGCUAGUAAUCGCGGAUCAGCACGCCGCGGUGAAUACGUUCCCGGGCCU